Cricetulus griseus (Chinese hamster) is the source of this 278-nucleotide unclassified non-coding RNA. Its record names the gene 7SK. It matches the Rfam family "7SK RNA". Rfam says of the family: 7SK was discovered as an abundant small nuclear RNA in the mid-70s but a possible function has only recently been suggested. NCBI's taxonomy places the organism in Eukaryota, Metazoa, Chordata, Mammalia, Rodentia, Cricetidae. The record is from Ensembl.
GGAUGUGAAGGCAAUCUGGCUGUGAUAUCUGUCACCCCAUUGAUGGCCAGGAUGGACUCAGCUGGUCUGGAUGGCUGGAUGGAGUGUCUCCUUCCUCCCUCGCCACAACAUGUGCAUCCUUCCUGAAAUUGAAGAGAACGGCCUUCCCAGAAUAGAGGAAGAACCCCACACAAGCUCUCUGUGUAUGUGUGUAUAUGUAUGUGUGUGCAUGUGUGUGUGUAUGUAUGUGUGUGUGUAUGUAUGUAUAUGUGUGUGCAUGCGUGUAUGUAUAUGUAUAU